Long non-coding RNA from Macadamia integrifolia, 1872 nucleotides. RefSeq lists it as uncharacterized. Lineage: Eukaryota; Viridiplantae; Streptophyta; Magnoliopsida; Proteales; Proteaceae. The record is from RefSeq and is a predicted model, not a curated record. The transcript is spliced from 4 exons.
UCUUGGGCUGGACCAUAAAAACCUAAAAUCAGCUACUGUUCACCAUAUCUGACCUCAAUUUCGUUUUGGACAGGGAGAGGAGAAGGAAGAAGAAGAAGAAGAAGAAGAAGAAGAGGACAAGAAGAAGGAAGGCUGUUAGGGCUUAUUUUUUGGGGCUGCUAUUGCAUACUGCUGGUUCCUACUGUUGCUGCUUACAGUUCUUGCUGUAUGCUACUGAUCAUGGGAGGUUUUCAUGGAGAAAGUUGAGUACCCUUGCUGUCACAUACUCCUGCUGUUGUACUACUUCAAGUUCUGAAAUUUCUUGUACAAAUUGUGGCUAUGUGAAUAUGAUAUGAUGAGGCUAUGGAAUGGUUUUCUGGAUUGUCGAGGCAAAAGAGAAAGAAAAGAGAGAAGGAAGAAGGGUUGCUGCCCCUAUGUUUCCGUCCUAACUACUGCCAGGGAGCUCCAGCUAAGCCUUUGAGUUGAUGUAGCCUUCCCCAACAUGCUUCCAGAGAAAUCGGUAGGAUGCCAGUGAAGCUGCUACUGCUGGAUGGAGCCUGAGAGCAGGGCAACUGCACCAGGGUAUUCCCUACUGCACCUGCAAGUCCUGAAAAGUGGAAGAAGAUGGUGGAACCGGAGGUGAGACAGGAAAAUGAUCAGUAAUGGUUGUGGGGCCAUGUCAACGAGACAAUGAAGAAGAAUGAUAUUUUUCAUCAGUUCUUAUAAUUAUUAUUUAAAUGUUUAUAAGAUUUAAUUAUCUAUGUAGCCCGUGGGAAUAAAUUUAAAAUUGGGCCUUAAUUAUUAAUUAUCAUUGUAGACUAAAUCACCAUGUGUUAUAUUACAUUAUGGCUUUUAUACGUGUAAUCUGAUUUAUAGUAGAUGAUCUCGUGAAUUUGUAAAGGUAGUAGACUGUGUUUUUGAUCCUGGUGGAGGUACGCUAACUAGGUUGAGAAUCCAGUGACGCAUACCUUGGCCUGUAUUCUGGCAGAGUGUGACAUAUGGAACAUGGUUGUAACUAUGGUAUAGAUGGUAUGGGGCAUGGUGUGGCCGAGGUGGAUUUCGGUACCGUGGGCCCAACGGUUAGUAGUAUGGUUAUGAUUAGGGGUGUAAGUUUGGCUCUGACGACCCAAACCUGCCCUGAGCCCGAUCCUUGUCUAACCUAGUUAUGAGGGUCAACCUAAUCAAGCCCGAAAUAACCCUGACUAGGGUUGAGCUGGGACUGGGUUGAGACCUAGGCCUCCCAACCCAUCCCGGCCCAACCCCACUAGAUUUUAACCCUGUUUGGUUAUUGUGUUUAGCAAUAAUAUUCCCCUUCCCCUAGGCCCACAUCAUGUGUUACACAAGCCACAUAAUGUGUUACACAAGCAUUACACAACCUGUCUACAUAGCUUCAACCCACAUCAUGUGUCUGUAUAGGGGUGAAAUAGGGCCGAGUUUCUUAAAACCCUAACCUAACCCUAGGUCCCCAAAACUCAACCCAACCCUAACCCAACCCUAGCGGGUUCAUGCUCAAGCCUAACCCUACCAGGCUCAGGGUUGGGCCAGGUUGGGUCGGGUUGACCCUAGCUAGUCUUCUUCGUGGAAUCACAUUCCGAUAAGUACAAUUCAAUUCUGAUUUCAAUUCUUCAAAUCAUCCGCUACCUUCAAACUCUGAAAAACAUUUACCGUAACUGACCCUUUGCCCCUUAAAUUCCUCAAAGUGCCAGCAUAUGCUAAGAGUCUAAAGAGAAAUGGUCCCUUCUACUAAUGCAAUGACAUUAUGGGUUGAAUUCAAUCUUUGUCACAAUUGAAGUCCAGAUUGAGAAUUGUCACUAAAUACCCAAAUGGGCCAAGCCCAACCCAAAAUAUUAGGCAGAUGGAGUUGCUUCCUGUCAAUAUGUGCAAUGUUCCAGU